RNAcentral lists this ribosomal RNA (253 nucleotides) under uncultured bacterium. RNAcentral's name for it is "partial 16S ribosomal RNA". It matches the Rfam family "Bacterial small subunit ribosomal RNA", at positions 524 to 776 of the family's 1533-position model. The record is from RNAcentral.
UACGGAGGUGGCAAGCGUUGCUCGGAAUCACUGGGCGUAAAGGGCGCGUAGGCGGCCUGUUAAGUCGAACGUGAAAUUCCUCGGCUCAACUGAGGAACUGCACGGGAAACUGCUUGGCUUGAGUUCGGGAGAGGGAAGCGGAAUUCCGGGUGUAGCGGUGAAAUGCGUAGAUAUCCGGAGGAACACCGGUGGCGAAGGCGGCUUCCUGGACCGACACUGACGCUGAGGCGCGAAAGCUAGGGGAGCAAACGGG